Molecule: transfer RNA, 69 nt
Filed under: Ophisternon candidum (blind cave eel)
Lineage: Eukaryota; Metazoa; Chordata; Actinopteri; Synbranchiformes; Synbranchidae
Description: tRNA-His
Rfam family: tRNA
About the family: Transfer RNA (tRNA) molecules are approximately 80 nucleotides in length. Their secondary structure includes four short double-helical elements and three loops (D, anti-codon, and T loops).
Source: RNAcentral
GUAAAUAUAGUUUAACAAAAACAUUAGACUGUGAUUCUAAAUAUGGGAGUUCAAACCUCCUUAUUCACC